CACAGAGGAAGGAGUGAGUAGCUUUGCUUUCCUGAGGAGACAGCGUUUGAGUUGGCUUGUAAAAGUUCUCAAUGGUGUUCACUCGUUGAAGAUUAAACCAUGGGAAGCUUUCCACUCAGCACCAUCCACUGGCUGGCACAGAGCUUUUGGCGGAUGUGGUGCUCCACAAAUGGUGGUGGUAGAAGAAGAUUCUGACUUUGAUCAUGGCCAUGUCGUGUCUGAGAACUCUCUUUCCUGGCCAGCAAUGGAAACAGACAACUUACCGUGCUCACUACAUUCCAGGCACUGUUGUACGUUAACUCAUCCAGUUAUCUCAGCAACCCAACAAGGUAGGUGAUAUCCUUAUCCCUAUUUUACAGAAGAGGAAACUCAGGUAUAGAGAAAUUAAGCAACUUUUCCAAAGUUGUGUGGUAAGUAAAUGGUAGCACCAGUAUUCCAAACCAGGUGAUGUAGGUCUGAAUGCCAUUCUCUUAGCCAUUACACCAGACUACCUCAGUAAAAUGUAUUUCUACCUAUCUGUGGUAGGCUUAAAAAUGACCCAAGGGUGUCCACAUCACAGUCCCCAGAGCUUGUGAAUAUGACACCUCACAUGGCAAAAAGGACUUUUCUGAUGUAAUUUAGCUAAGGAUGUUGAGAUAGGGAGAGUGUCCUGGAUGAUCCAAGGGAGUCCAAUGUAAUCACAUAGUAGGCAGGAGGGUCAGAGUUAAAGAAAGAGAUGUACCUUGGAAUCAGAGGUGAGAGAGAUUUGUAGAUGCUAUGCUGCUGGGUUUCAAGAUGGAAGGAGGAGUCACGGCGGAAGAAUGCAGGCAGCCUCUCAAAGCUGAAAACAGCAAGGAAACAGCUUCUCCUUUAGAGCCUAAAAAAGGAAUGUAGCUCUGCUGACCCCCCAAUUUUAGACUUCUGACAUCCAGAACUACGCAAAAAUAAAUUUGCACUGUUUUGAGUGACAGUUUUUGGUGGCAAUUUGUUACGGCAGACAUACAAGCUGAUACACCAUCCUAUAAGACCAACUGAAAUGAUUCUCCUACUGUGAGGCUUUCCCUGAAUCUGCAGGUAGACUUGGCUGCCCCUCCUCUGUGCUCUGUAGCAUGUGGCCCUUCAUAGCCCUUAUUUAUUCUACUUACUGGUUUAUGUGUCAGUCUUACGCACAUUGAUGAGUUGUUAAUCGUUGAUUCCUCAGCUCCUCCCCUGCUACCUGGUGUAUAACAUAAUUCAACAAUUAUUCAUUGACUGACUGGCUAGUCAAAUAGCCCAGAGAGUUUGGACCGAGGUCCAAGGAUCACAAGGAGAGCAACUCAGAAACUCUGUAGCAUAGAGGACAAAAGCUUUGGAACAGACAGACCUGGGUCACUAAUAAGCUGUACGAUAUUGAGAAACUGUCCUGACUCCUCUGAGUCUUAGUUUCCGUUUGGGCCUACAAUAUCCACUUUACAUGGUAGUUAUAAAAAUUAAGAAAAAUAUGGAAGCACGUGUCAGGCCAGUUGUUUCAUUAAUUACCUUAUCUUCUUCUGUGUGAGGGGAUAAUCAAUUCAGAGCCUUGGUGUGUUGUCACAUUGGACACUUUCCUCCACUACUGUGUCAGCUCAGACCCACAGCACCAGAAUGGUACCAGGUACUUAAGAGGUUCUCGUUGAAAGGUGAAUGCAUGGUGGAGAAAGAAGCAAUCCCUGCUCUUAGAAAGUGUCUCCUGUGAGUGGCUAGAAAUGAGGGAAGCUAGACUCAAUGUGUAGACAAGGGCUGCCUGUCAUUGCUCUGUACGCUUAACAGUCUACCUGGGGAGAACAGAGAUACCAAGGGACAAUGAGGACAAGAGGAAGCAAAAUCUCCUUCAGAACAAGAAGAAGGUGUCUACACUUUUACCUCUGCCUGCCUGGUACACGCACCCCAGUUGCCUCACCAGAAUAAUUCCUACUUAUCAGCUCAGGACUUGCCUUCCCUGAUCACAACACUGGGUUUAGGAGACCCUCCUACACUGGAUUCAGGAGUCCCUCCAUAGUAUUCCCUUGCGACCCCACACUACCUCACCUCACUGAUUCAUAAUUUAGAGCAGUUUGUAUGCACCCUUAUCAUCUCCAGGGAGCCAUGAGAGCUUAGAGAGAAGACUGUAUGCACCUUCAGUCUUCAAUGACCAUAUGCUCUAAUUCUAACACACCUGGUAGAACGAAUCACUUGGAGAUUUCUGUCAACACCACCAAUAUAUGUAGUUUGAAAUCGUUACUUAGCAUAGAUUAUGGGAUUCACUGAUGGAGAGCUAAUGUACCAGAUCUUGAAUGGAAUAGAAUAUCAAUACCAAUCUAUAAACAUUUAUUUGUUGGAAUAGACCAUCCAUUCAUUUAUUCAUAGACCAACUCAUUCUUUCAAUAAAUAUUUAUUAAGCACCCAUAGUUUAUGACUCAUUUUGUUCAUUCAUUUGUUCAUUCAUUCAACACACAUUUACUGAGUGCCUGUUAAGUGUUAAAACUGUGGAUGUACUGGUGAAGGUAAUAGGAAUGUUUUUCCUAUGGGAAUCUUAUAGGAUAAUGGAGGAAACAGACAAUACAAAUGUAAACACAAAAAUAUAAAAUUUUGGUUGCAAUAAAGUGCUUUGGAGAAAAAUUUAAAAGCACAGUAAUAUAGAGUAAAAAUGAAAGGGUGGUCAGAGAAGGCCCUUUAGAGGAAGUGACAAUUAAGUCAAGCGUUCU
This 2681-nucleotide long non-coding RNA is filed under the name Equus caballus (horse). RNAcentral describes it as "lncRNA (ENSECAG00000058527.1)". The record is from RNAcentral. Lineage: Eukaryota; Metazoa; Chordata; Mammalia; Perissodactyla; Equidae.